GCCCUUAGAGUUUGAUCCUGGCUCAGAAUGAACGCUGGCGGCGUGCUUAACACAUGCAAGUCGCACGAGAACGCUUCAGCUUGCUGAAGUUAGUAAAGUGGCGCACGGGUGAGUAACGCGUGGGUAAUCUACCCUUGAAUUGGGGAUAACCCGCCGAAAGGCGGACUAAUACCGGAUGACAUCUUGAAUAUUUAGGUAUUCAUGAUCAAAGAUGGCCUCUACAUGUAAGCUAUUGUUUGAGGAUGAGCCCGCGUACCAUUAGCUUGUUGGUAGGGUAAUGGCCUACCAAGGCUACGAUGGUUAGCUGGUCUGAGAGGAUGAUCAGCCACACUGGAACUGACACACGGUCCAGACUCCUACGGGAGGCAGCAGUGAGGAAUUUUGCGCAAUGGGGGAAACCCUGACGCAGCAACGCCGCGUGAGUGAUGAAGGCUUUCGGGUCGUAAAGCUCUGUCAAGUGGGAAGAAUUCAUAUGGUGAUAAUACCACCUUAUGCUGACGGUACCACUGAAGGAAGCACCGGCUAACUCCGUGCCAGCAGCCGCGGUAAUACGGGGGGUGCGAGCGUUAUUCGGAAUUACUGGGCGUAAAGAGCGCGUAGGCGGUCUUUUAAGUCAGGUGUGAAAGCCCGGGGCUCAACCCCGGAAGUGCACUUGAAACUAAGAGACUUGAGUAUGGGAGAGGGAAGUGGAAUUCCUGGUGUAGCGGUGAAAUGCGUAGAUAUCAGGAGGAACAUCAGUGGCGAAGGCGACUUCCUGGACCAAUACUGACGCUGAGGCGCGAAGGCGUGGGGAGCAAACAGGAUUAGAUACCCUGGUAGUCCACGCAGUAAACGGUGAACACUAGGUGUAGCGGGUAUUGACCCCUGCUGUGCCGCAGCAAACGCAUUAAGUGUUCCGCCUGGGGAG
Molecule: ribosomal RNA, 907 nt
Filed under: uncultured Desulfobacterales bacterium
Lineage: Bacteria; Pseudomonadati; Thermodesulfobacteriota; Desulfobacteria; Desulfobacterales
Description: bacterial SSU rRNA
Rfam family: Bacterial small subunit ribosomal RNA
Source: RNAcentral